RNAcentral lists this ribosomal RNA (474 nucleotides) under uncultured bacterium. RNAcentral describes it as "partial 16S ribosomal RNA". It matches the Rfam family "Bacterial small subunit ribosomal RNA", at positions 28 to 523 of the family's 1533-position model. The record is from RNAcentral.
GACGAACGCUGGCGGCGUGCUUAACACAUGCAAGUCGAACGGUAAGGCCCUUCGGGGUACACGAGUGGCGAACGGGUGAGUAACACGUGGGUGAUCUGCCCUGCACUUCGGGAUAAGCCUGGGAAACUGGGUCUAAUACCGGAUAGGACCACUGCCUGCAUGGGCGGUGGUGGAAAGCUUUUGCGGUGUGGGAUGGGCCCGCGGCCUAUCAGCUUGUUGGUGGGGUGAUGGCCUACCAAGGCGACGACGGGUAGCCGGCCUGAGAGAGUGACCGGCCACACUGGGACUGAGACACUGCCCAGACACCUACGGGUGGCUGCAGUCGAGAAUAUUCCCCAAUGGGCGAAAGCCUGAGGGAGCGACGCCGCGUGUAGGAUGAAGGGCUUCGGCUCGUAAACUACUUUUACCAGGGAAGAAUAUUGACGGUACCUGGAGAAUAAGAGGUUGCUAACUCUGUGCCAGCAGCCGCCGUAA